RNAcentral lists this unclassified non-coding RNA (574 nucleotides) under Hevea brasiliensis (rubber tree). Lineage: Eukaryota; Viridiplantae; Streptophyta; Magnoliopsida; Malpighiales; Euphorbiaceae. The record is from RNAcentral.
UGUCGAAACCGCCUUUUCACUGGAUUUGGACGUCGCGGGUUGCUUGUCCAAAUCCUUGGACCAUGAUCGGUAGUAGGCGACGGCCGUCAUGAGCGCGAUUCCAGACACACUCACGAUGAUCUGCGCGAGAAGUGAGUCGGAGACCAGCUCAAGAACGAAAUGACCGACGAAGGAGAGAAACACUCCGACGCAAAACACUUCCAACGAACGCUGACCACAGAUGAUCAACGGGCGAAGCCAGCGGGACGUCAACCCGGGACAAUCAAAGGGGAAAAACCGAACGACCAGCACGGCCAAGGCGACGAAAUGCAGAAUCCGAUAUGGCGCGAGAUUUGUCUUGUCGUUAGGAUUGAAUGCGCCAAACAGUCCCUCAGGGAUUAUUUUUCCAAGCGGCGCGACAUAGCCUGCAACUGUCAUAAACAGCGCAAACCCCAGAUAAACGAAACAGAUCGAUAUGAUCGCGGGCGACCGAAUGAGCCUCUGUAGUCGCGACGCUCCUCCGAGCGAGCUCCAGGCUCCAAGCACAAAGAGGAGUUGCCAAGUGAACGGGUUAAAAUACCAAACACCCGACGGA